Molecule: long non-coding RNA, 3608 nt
Filed under: Calidris pugnax (ruff)
Lineage: Eukaryota; Metazoa; Chordata; Aves; Charadriiformes; Scolopacidae
Description: lncRNA (ENSCPUG00000005340.1)
Source: RNAcentral
CCACGCCCCACGUCCUGCAUUCAUCCCGUGUCCUGCAUCCCACGUCCCAUAUCCCACGCCCCACGUCCUGCAUUCAUCCCGUGUCCUGCAUCCCACAUCCCAUGUCCUGCAUCCCAUGUCCCAUGUACCACAUCCUGUGUCCUGCAUCCCACGUCCCAUAUCCCACGUCCCACGUCCUGCAUUCAUCCCAUGUCCUGCAUCCCACAUCCCACGUCCCAUGUCCUGCGUCCUGUGUCCUAUGUCCAUCCCAUGUUCCGCAUCCCACAUCCCAUGUCCCACGUCCUGCAUCCUGUGUCCCAUGCACCUCAUCCCAUGUCCCAUGUACCACAACCUGUGUCCCAUGUCCCAUGUCCCACAUCCCACAUCCCAUGUCCUGCAUCUCCCGUGUCCUGCAUCCCACGUCCCAUGUCCCGCAUCCCAUGUCCCACGUCCUGCAUCCUGUGUCACAUGUACCACAUCCCAUGUCCUGCAUCCUGCAUCCCACGUCCCAUGUACCACAUCCUGUGUCCUGCAUCCCAUGUCCCAUGUACCACAUCCCAUGUCCCACGUCCCACAACCCGUGUCCUGCAUCCAUCCCAUGUCCCGCAUCCCACAUCCCAUGUCCCAUGUCCUACAUCCUGUGUCCCAUGUCCACCCCAUGUUCUGCAUCCCACAUCCCAUGUCUCAUGUCCCACAUCCCGUGUCCCAUGUCCCGCGUACCACGUCCCACAUCCCAUGUCCUGCAUCCCAUGUACCAUGUCCCGCAUCUCCCGUGUCCCACAUCCCAUGUCCCACGUCCUGCAUCCUGUCCCAUGCACCACAUCCCGUGUCCCACAUCCCAUAUCCCACGUCCUGUGUACCAUGUCCCAUGUCCUGCAUCCUGUGUCCCACAUCCCGUGUCCUGCGUCCCACAUCCUGUGUCUCAAGUCCUGCAUCCCAUGUCCCACAUCCCAUGUCUCAGAUCCCACAUCCCAUGUCCCAUGUCCUGCAUCCUGUGUCUUGCAUCCCACGUCCCAUGUCCCACGUCCAUCUCGCAUCCCACAUCCCAUGUCCCAUGUCCUGCAUCCUGUGUCCCAUGUCCCGUGUCCCAUAUCCCAUGUCCUGCGUCCCAUGUCCUGCGUCCAUCCCAUGUUCCGCAUCCCACAUGCCAUGUCCCAUGUCCUGCAUCCUGUGUCCCACAUCCCAUAUCCCAUGUCCUGUGUACCAUGUCCCAUGUCCUGCAUCCCAUGUACCACGUCCUGCAUCGCCUGUCCCGUGUCCCACAUCCUGCAUCCUAUGUCCCAUGUCCCGUGUCCCAUGUCCUGUGUCCUGCGUCCCACAUCCUCUGUCUCAAGUCCUGCAUCCCAUGUCCCACAUCCCAUGUCCCACAUCCCGUGUCCCACAUCCCGUGUCCUGCAUCCCACAUCCCGUCCUGUGUCCUGCAUCCCAUGUCCCACAACCCGUGUCCUGCAUACUGUGUCCCAUGUCCACCCCAUGUUCCGCAUUCCACAUCCCAUGUCCCAUGUCCUGCAUCCUGUGUCCCAUGUCCACCCCAUGUUCCGCAUUCCACAUCCCAUGUCCCAUGUCCUGCAUCCUGUGUCCCACAUCCCGUGUCCCAUGUACCACAUCCCGUGUCCUGCAUCCCAUGUACCAUGUCCCGCAUCUCCUGUGUCCUGCAUCCCAUGUCCCACGUCCUGCAUCCUGUCCCAUGCACCACAUCCCGUGUCCCACACCCCAUAUCCCAUGUCCUGUGUACCAUGUCCCAUAUCCCACAUCCCGUGUCCCAUGUCCCAUGUCCUGCAUCCCGUGUCCCACGUCCCACGUCCUGCAUCCCGUGUCCCACGUCCAUCCUGUGUCCCGCAUCCCCUGUCCCAUGUCCCACGUCCUGCAUCCCACAUCCCAUGUCCCGUGUCCCAUGUCCCACAAACCACAUCCCACGUCCCGUGUCCCGCAUCCUGUGUCCCACGUCCAUCCCACAUCCCGUGUCCCACGUCCUUCAUCCUGUGUCCCACGUCCCACAUCCCACGUCCCGUGUCCUUCAUCCUGUGUCCAAUGUCCAUCCCAUGUUCCGCAUCCCACAUCCCAUGUCCCAUGUCCUGCAUCCUGUGUCCCACGUCCCAUGUCCUGCAUCCUGUGUCCAAUGUCCAUCCCAUGUUCCGCAUCCCAUGUCCCACGUCCUGCAUCCUGUGUCCCAUGUCCUGCAUCCCAUGUCUGUGUCUCAAGUCCUGCAUCCCAUGUCCCACAUCCCGUGUCUCGUAUCCCACAUCCCAUGUCCCAUGUCCUGCGUCCCACAUACCAUCCCGUGUCCUGUGUCCCGCAUCCCGUGUCCCAUGUACCACAUCCCAUGUUCAUCUCACAUCCCAUGUCCCGUGUUCCACGUCCCACAUCCCGUGUCCCGCAUCCCACAUCCCAUGUCCCACCUCCUGCAUCCUGUGUCCCACGUCCCAUGUCCCAUGUACCACAUCCCGUGUCCUGCAUCCUGUGUCCCACGUCCAUCCCAUGUUCCGCAUCCCACAUCCUGCAUCCCACAUCCUGCAUCCCGUGUCCUGCAUCCCGUGUCCUGUGUCCAUCCCAUGUCCCGUGUCCCAUGCACCACAUCCCAUGUCCCAUGUCCUGCAUCCUGAGGGGAGAAGAACCUGAUGGAGUUCAACCAGGGCAAGUGUUGGGUGCUGCCCCUGGGGAGGAAGAACCCCCCAAAACCAGGACAGGUUGGGGGUGACCUUGGAGUCCUGGGGGACAACAGGGUGCCCAGGAGCCAGCAAUGGGCCCUGGUGGCCAAGGAGGCCAAUGGCAUCCUGGGGGGCAUCAGGAAGAGCGUGGAGAACCUCAAGGGAGGUCAUCCUGCCCCUCUGCUCUGCCCUGGGGAGGCCCCAGCUGGAGCACUGGGACCAGUUGUGGGCUCCCCAGUUCCCACAUCCCGCAUCCCGUGUCCCACAUCCAUCCCACAUCCCAUGUCCCAUGUACCACGGCCCGUGUCCUGCAUCCUGUGUCCCACGUCCAUCCCAUGUUCCGCAUCCCACAUCCCAUGUCCCACGUCCUGCAUCAUGUGUCCCACGUCCCGUGUCCCAUGUCCUGCAUCCCAUGUCCCAUGUCCUUCAUCCUGUGUCCUAUGUCCAUCCCAUGUUCCGCAUCCCAUGUCCCACGUCCUGCAUCCUGUGUCCCACGUCCUGCAUCCCAUGUCUGUGUCUCAAGUCCUGCAUCCCAUGUCCCACAUCCCGUGUCUCGUAUCCCACAUCCCAUGUCCCAUGUCCUGCGUCCCACAUACCAUCCCGUGUCCUGUGUCCCGCAUCCCAUGUCCCAUGUACCACAUCCCAUUUCCACCCCAAAAUCAUUCCAGGGCCCUGGCUCUUACUUGAGCAGCUUGAAGUAGGCGAAUCGGAAGGUCUCCUGCAGCAGGACGGAGACGGAGGCCCCGAAGAGGAGGAGCCCGCGCUGCAGACGAGCGUCCUCCCGGUCACUGAGCUGCACCGACACGAACCACACCAGGGAGGCCAGGAGCAGGGACACCAGCCAGAAGAAGGCCCUGGGGGGGGUCGGGGGGGGACACACGGACAUGGGGGACACAGACACACGGACACACACGGACACACAAGAACAGGGGGUUCAGGCCACGGAGCUGGGAAUCGCCCGGAAAACGCUGGGGGGAUCGG